CUCCUCUCAGGAUGGCGUCUGGAGAGUUUCCAGUACUCUACUGGUCUUGGCUACAGGAGGGAGAGUCAAGCAGAGGCCUACCCAUUCCAUUCCUAGCUUGGCCAGUGACUAGCGAGUGGAAGGCGAUUUGCUACAGGU
Molecule: small nucleolar RNA, 138 nt
Organism: Tachyglossus aculeatus (Australian echidna)
Lineage: Eukaryota; Metazoa; Chordata; Mammalia; Monotremata; Tachyglossidae
Source: RefSeq, a predicted model, not a curated record